RNAcentral lists this ribosomal RNA (425 nucleotides) under uncultured soil bacterium. RNAcentral describes it as "bacterial SSU rRNA". It matches the Rfam family "Bacterial small subunit ribosomal RNA", at positions 966 to 1393 of the family's 1533-position model. The record is from RNAcentral.
GAACCUUACCUACCCUUGACAUGCCAGGAAUUUUGCAGAGAUGCGAAGGUGCCGAAAGGAACCUGGACACAGGUGCUGCAUGGCUGUCGUCAGCUCGUGUUGUGAGAUGUUGGGUUAAGUCCCGUAACGAGCGCAACCCUUAUCCUUAGUUACCAUCAUUAAGUUGGGGACUCUAAGGAGACUGCUGGUGACGAACCGGAGGAAGGCGGGGACGACGUCAAGUCAUCAUGGCCUUUAUGGGUAGGGCUACACACGUGCUACAAUGGUCGGUACAGAGGGCAGCCAACCCGUGAGGGGGAGCCAAUCCCGAAAAGCCGAUCGUAGUCCGGAUCGGAGUCUGCAACUCGACUCCGUGAAGUCGGAAUCGCUAGUAAUCGCGAAUCAGAAUGUCGCGGUGAAUACGUUCCCGGGCCUUGUCACACCGA